Molecule: long non-coding RNA, 399 nt
Organism: Artibeus jamaicensis (Jamaican fruit-eating bat)
Lineage: Eukaryota; Metazoa; Chordata; Mammalia; Chiroptera; Phyllostomidae
Exons: 3
Source: RefSeq, a predicted model, not a curated record
GGCUCAGGAGCAGGAUGCAGUGUCUGGCUCAUAGUGUCCUGCCUCCAAUGUGGGGAGUUUUCCUUCUUUACGUUUUUCUGACAGUGGGAGGAGGAAUUAUGAAAGACAUGGGUUAAAGAAUAUCAAUCAGCUGAAUUACCCCUGCAUAAUAGGAGAAAACUGAGAUUUUACUUAUUUGUUUUUAGAGAGAAAGUAAAGGAAAAAGAGAGGGAGAGAAGCAUGGAUGUGCAAGAAAAUCGUCAAUUGUUUGCCUCUGGUAUACACCCUGGCCUAGGACUGAAUCUGCAACCCAGACAUGUGUCCUAAGCCAAAAUUGAACCAGCAACGUCUUGCCAUGUGGGACGCUGCCCAACCAAUUGAACCACAUUGGUCAGGGCAUUAAUAUUUACUUGCAUUUAG